UACGUAGGUGGCGAGCGUUAUCCGGAAUCAUUGGGCGUAAAGAGGGAGCAGGCGGCCGGAAGGGUCUAACGUUAAAAGGCAGCAGCUUAACUGCUGUAGGGCGAAGAAACCGAUCGGCUAGAGUUCUAUAGAGGAUCGUGGAAUUCCAUGUGUAGCGGUGAAAUGCGUAGAUAUAUGGAGGAACACCAGUGGCGAAGGCGACGAUCUGGAUAGAAACAGACGCUGAGUCCCGAAAGCGUGGGGAGCAAAUAGG
This 253-nucleotide ribosomal RNA is filed under the name uncultured bacterium. Its description in RNAcentral is "partial 16S ribosomal RNA". It matches the Rfam family "Bacterial small subunit ribosomal RNA", at positions 524 to 776 of the family's 1533-position model. The record is from RNAcentral.